Molecule: ribosomal RNA, 885 nt
Filed under: uncultured Halomonas sp.
Lineage: Bacteria; Pseudomonadati; Pseudomonadota; Gammaproteobacteria; Oceanospirillales; Halomonadaceae
Description: bacterial SSU rRNA
Rfam family: Bacterial small subunit ribosomal RNA
Source: RNAcentral
UUUGAUCCUGGCUCAGAUUGAACGCUGGCGGCAGGCCUAACACAUGCAAGUCGAGCGGCAGCACGGGAAGCUUGCUUCCUGGUGGCGAGCGGCGGACGGGUGAGUAAUGCAUAGGAAUCUGCCCGGUAGUGGGGGAUAACCUGGGGAAACCCAGGCUAAUACCGCAUACGUCCUACGGGAGAAAGCAGGGGCUCUUCGGACCUUGCGCUAUCGGAUGAGCCUAUGUCGGAUUAGCUGGUUGGUGAGGUAAUGGCUCACCAAGGCGACGAUCCGUAGCUGGUCUGAGAGGAUGAUCAGCCACAUCGGGACUGAGACACGGCCCGAACUCCUACGGGAGGCAGCAGUGGGGAAUAUUGGACAAUGGGCGCAAGCCUGAUCCAGCCAUGCCGCGUGUGUGAAGAAGGCCCUCGGGUUGUAAAGCACUUUCAGUGGGGAAGAAAGCCUUCCGGUUAAUACCCGGGAGGAAGGACAUCACCCACAGAAGAAGCACCGGCUAACUCCGUGCCAGCAGCCGCGGUAAUACGGAGGGUGCGAGCGUUAAUCGGAAUUACUGGGGCGUAAAGCGCGCGUAGGUGGCUUGAUAAGCCGGUUGUGAAAGCCCCGGGCUCAACCUGUGAACGGCAUCCCGGAACUGUCAGGCUAGAGUGCAGGAGAGGAAGGUAGAAUUUCCCGGUGUAGCGGUGAAAUGCGUAGAGAUCGGGGAGGAAUACCAGUGGCGAGCGCCUUCUGGACUGACCACUGACCACUGAGGUGCGAAGCGUGGGUAGCAAACAGGAUUAGAAUACCCUGUAGUCCACGCCGUAAACGAUUGUCGACUAGCCGUUGGGUCCUUCGCGGACUUUGUGGCGCAGUUACGCGAUAGGUCGACCGGCCUGGGGGAGUACG